Molecule: long non-coding RNA, 278 nt
Filed under: Homo sapiens (human)
Lineage: Eukaryota; Metazoa; Chordata; Mammalia; Primates; Hominidae
Description: Rho GTPase activating protein 27 (ENSG00000276836.4, ENSG00000276907.4)
Source: RNAcentral
GCGUCCUGACAUUCUUCAAGGACUCAAAGACCUCGGCUGCAGGCGGCCUGAGGCAGCCUUCCAAGUUUUCCACCCCUGAGUACACAGUGGAGCUGAGGGGGGCCACUCUCUCCUGGGCCCCCAAAGACAAAUCCAGUAGGAAGAAUGUGCUGGAGCUACGGAGCCGAGAUGGCUCUGAGUACCUGAUCCAGCACGACUCGGAGGCCAUCAUCAGCACCUGGCAUAAGGCCAUUGCUCAGGGCAUCCAGGAGCUGGGCUCCAUGCAGCUAAGGGAGGUG